This 465-nucleotide ribosomal RNA is filed under the name Vreelandella stevensii. RNAcentral describes it as "partial 16S ribosomal RNA". It matches the Rfam family "Bacterial small subunit ribosomal RNA", at positions 338 to 795 of the family's 1533-position model. The record is from RNAcentral. Lineage: Bacteria; Pseudomonadati; Pseudomonadota; Gammaproteobacteria; Oceanospirillales; Halomonadaceae.
CCUACGGGGGGCAGCAGUGGGGAAUAUUGGACAAUGGGGGGAACCCUGAUCCAGCCAUGCCGCGUGUGUGAAGAAGGCCCUCGGGUUGUAAAGCACUUUCAGUGAGGAAGAACGCCUGGUGGUUAAUACCCAUCAGGAAAGACAUCACUCACAGAAGAAGCACCGGCUAACUCCGUGCCAGCAGCCGCGGUAAUACGGAGGGUGCGAGCGUUAAUCGGAAUUACUGGGCGUAAAGCGCGCGUAGGUGGCUUGAUAAGCCGGUUGUGAAAGCCCCGGGCUCAACCUGGGAACGGCAUCCGGAACUGUCAAGCUAGAGUGCAGGAGAGGAAGGUAGAAUUCCCGGUGUAGCGGUGAAAUGCGUAGAGAUCGGGAGGAAUACCAGUGGCGAAGGCGGCCUUCUGGACUGACACUGACACUGAGGUGCGAAAGCGUGGGUAGCAAACAGGAUUAGAUACCAUGGUAGUC